This 479-nucleotide ribosomal RNA is filed under the name uncultured bacterium. RNAcentral describes it as "bacterial SSU rRNA". It matches the Rfam family "Bacterial small subunit ribosomal RNA", at positions 330 to 801 of the family's 1533-position model. The record is from RNAcentral.
ACCGUACUCCUACGGGAGGCAGCAGUGGGGAAUAUUGGACAAUGGGCGAAAGCCUGAUCCAGCCAUGCCGCGUGUGUGAAGAAGGUCUUCGGAUUGUAAAGCACUUUAAGUUGGGAGGAAGGGCAGUAAGUUAAUACCUUGCUGUUUUGACGUUACCAACAGAAUAAGCACCGGCUAACUUCGUGCCAGCAGCCGCGGUAAUACGAAGGGUGCAAGCGUUAAUCGGAAUUACUGGGCGUAAAGCGCGCGUAGGUGGUUCGUUAAGUUGGAUGUGAAAGCCCCGGGCUCAACCUGGGAACUGCAUCCAAAACUGGCGAGCUAGAGUAUGGCAGAGGGUGGUGGAAUUUCCUGUGUAGCGGUGAAAUGCGUAGAUAUAGGAAGGAACACCAGUGGCGAAGGCGACCACCUGGGCUAAUACUGACACUGAGGUGCGAAAGCGUGGGGAGCAAACAGGAUUAGAAACCCCAGUAGUCCUUGAC